This 1815-nucleotide long non-coding RNA is filed under the name Sus scrofa (pig). RNAcentral describes it as "lncRNA (ENSSSCG00025011227.1)". The record is from RNAcentral. Lineage: Eukaryota; Metazoa; Chordata; Mammalia; Artiodactyla; Suidae.
UGUCAUUCAUUCUCCAGCCAGCCUUAAUCCUUCCCAAGGUGUUGCACCUUCACUGGUUUUUCAUACAGAGAUGAUUUGGAAAAGGUUCCAAAGAAAUCGAUGUUGGAAGAUAGCUGAGCUGGAAAAAGGACGAUGCUUUGGGCCUGCAGUAAAGAAGUGACAGGGACUGAAUCCUACGGAAGUAAAUAAACUUGGUUUAAAACAUCUUCAUACGUGCCCGCGAAGGCAGGGAGAUGUUGUAAGGGAAUACCUGUUUAAGGCUGGCGUUUGGUUCCGGAGUGUAGCGGCAUUUGAAGAAACUUAGGGUGUAUGCUUAAAAAUACUGCGAAGACUGGAUCUUCGGUAGCAUGGAUCGCUAUUUUAAAAAUACAUUUAGUGUUUAAUUUGUAGAACUCCAUAUAUACGACUACUUUAGGAACUGAUUUUCUUUUAAACUAAGUAACUGAGAUCAAGUAAUUUUGCCCAGUGUCUCAAAUGAACUGUGAUUUUUUUUCCAGUUACUAAAACAAUGCUGUGUGUUUUUUUUUCAGAGUCUAUCUACACUAUGAAAAGAUGGGAAAUUUCUUCCUGAAAGUGUCUGAAGGGCUAAAAAUGCUGAUAUAUUUGUGCUGUUAAAUGUUUCAUUUUGCAUGUUAUUGUGAAAACAAAAGUAACGAAUUACUGGGUCGGUAGAGCUAUGCACUUCACCUGUUAGGAGUUAAAAUUAUUGCUGAUAAAUGGAUUAUAUCAAAGAAAGGCUAGGGGUCGAAUCAGAGCUACACCUGCCAGCCUACACCACAGCCAUUCCAGAUCCCAGCCAAGUCUGCAACAUACACCAUAGCUCAAGGCAACGCUGGAUCCUUAACCCACUUAGCGAGAAGUCCAGGGAUCAAACCCGCAACCUCAUGGUUCCUAGUCGGAUUUGUUUCCAGUGUGCCACGAUGGGAACUCCUGUUUCAUUUUUAAACAAAGGUAAUAUGUAUUAGUCUCACUUGUCCAUGAAUACAAUAAUGAGAAAGGCUCAUGAAAUUAUUUGUUAUCCAGAAAUAACCUUUGCAAGUAAUGUUGGUAAGUAUAGGAAAAGGAAAAAAUCUUUACCAUUUUCUUUCUCAUCUUCAGUAUAACUGUGGUAUUUUAAGCUUAAUAGAGAUAAACUGAACAGAUUUACAUUUAGACUUAGUUUCACAUUCUUACAGAUUAUUUUUAGGGCUUGGUGAAUCAGGAGUGUUUUUAUGUCUUAGACAAACUUUAUUUUGUAAGAUACUUCUUUAUAUAAGCAAUAACCUCAAUUUGAGUUACUGUGGAAGACAAAUUUGUGAAGGAAAUGGAACCCAGCAGAUUUCUCAGAAAUAGUAUAUGUGAGAAACGCGACUUGUAUAAUGCAGUGAUUUCUAUAAUUCGUCAUAUGUUUGGGUAAUUAGAAAUUUUUCCAGCCUUAUAGUCAUUGAACAUCUAACCAUAAAGAAAUGAGACAAAUCUAGUUAAUAGCCCUAAAAACAACCCCAUGACUCUUUUAGGAAAAAAAAAUCCUGGCACUCCAUAGCAAUUUUAUUUACAACACUAGUAUUCGAGAAGUUGGUGAUGCCAGCUUCUGAAAGAAUAACCUCAGUGUCCUGGAGAAAACUUGGAUUAGGAAAAGUGAAAUUAGAAAUGCCUUCAGUAGAUAAAGAAACCUACCUUCUUUCUACCUCUCAAAAUUUGAUUUGUAUUAUAAAUAGCUUGUUAAAAGAGUAUUGAGUUACUUCUGUUAGAGCAAGGGUUUUUGCAACGGGGCUAAGUGUCUGGAUUGCCUAUAGAACUCUAGAAGUGUUUAGCUUAUUGCCCACGCAUCCUAGC